This 464-nucleotide ribosomal RNA is filed under the name Rhabdias bufonis. RNAcentral's name for it is "partial small subunit ribosomal RNA". The record is from RNAcentral. Lineage: Eukaryota; Metazoa; Nematoda; Chromadorea; Rhabditida; Rhabdiasidae.
CUUGUACUUUAAUUGAUGUUUAUUACAAAUUUUUUUUUAGGACUUUAAAAAUUAUAAGGUGGAAUUAGAAUUUUUUUGUGUAAUAUUGUUUGUAAUUUUAAAUUUUGAUUGAGCGAACUAGAAUAGAACCUAGUUAGACAAAUAUUAAAAGAGCAGAAGUAAAGUUGUAUUUAAACUGAAAGGAUAUUGGCAGGUGAUCUAAAUUAUCUUUGGAGGCUGAGUAGUAAUUGAGAACCCCCAUUAGCUACUUUGUUUGUUUUCGCAUGUAUGAUCGUUUAUUUAAAUCUUAAAGGUAGUAAUUAAAGAUUAAAUUUUCUAUAAAAACAGAUAAAUACCUGGUAUAUGAUUAAAGUAAGAUUUGGCCUACAUUAUUUUAUAAUGUGGAUAAUAUUUUUGGCAAGAUAUUUGAAAAUGUAAAAGACAGUAAAAAAUUUUUAAUGUAUUUUUGAAGAUUAUCUAGAGAC